UGAGGAAUAUUGGUCAAUGGACGCAAGUCUGAACCAGCCAAGUAGCGUGCAGGAUGACGGCCCUAUGGGUUGUAAACUGCUUUUAUAUGGGGAUAAAGUGGGGAACGUGUUCCCUUUUUCAGGUACCAUAUGAAUAAGGACUGGCUAAUUCCGUGCCAGCAGCCGCGGUAAUACGGAAGGUCCAGGCGUUAUCCGGAUUUAUUGGGUUUAAAGGGAGCGUAGGCUGUUUGUUAAGCGUGUUGUGAAAUGUAAGAGCUCAACUUUUAGAUUGCCGCGCGAACUGGCAGACUUGAGUGCGCACAACGUAGGCGGAAUUCAUGGUGUAGCGGUGAAAUGCUUAGAUAUCAUGACGAACUCCGAUUGCGAAGGCAGCUUACGGGAGCGCAACUGACGCUAAAGCUCGAAGGUGCGGGUAUCUAACAGG
This 424-nucleotide ribosomal RNA is filed under the name Verrucomicrobiota bacterium. RNAcentral's name for it is "Verrucomicrobia bacterium partial 16S ribosomal RNA". It matches the Rfam family "Bacterial small subunit ribosomal RNA", at positions 355 to 776 of the family's 1533-position model. Lineage: Bacteria; Pseudomonadati; Verrucomicrobiota. The record is from RNAcentral.